Molecule: long non-coding RNA, 1866 nt
Filed under: Homo sapiens (human)
Lineage: Eukaryota; Metazoa; Chordata; Mammalia; Primates; Hominidae
Description: HSALNT0159456
Source: RNAcentral
CCGCGCUCCCUCCCCGCCCUCCCCGCCGCCCGCCCGCGCUCACCUGGUUGUUUUUGCAGAGAUCAGCCCACAUGCUGGUGCCGUCCCCUCCGCGCAUCAGGACGUGCCACUUCUAAGAUGCUAAUGAUCCUGGGAGUUUUAGCCUUUUGUUGCCUGCUGCUGCGGUGUUUGAACCAUUCCAGUAAGCCAGCAACUUUGCAGGGACAAGGACAGAGCAUGCAAAGCAUGGAGGGAAAGUAGGAGUGUUUGUACCAUGAGUCUCUGCACACCCCUCAUCUUGGCUAUAGUAGACUGGACCACAGAUGGACACUGUACCAUGCAGAUUACUUCUUCCAGGAACUUGGAUUGAGACCAAGAGACUCAUGGCAUCCUCUUCUGGCUGCAAGACUUAUAUUUUUAUAUUUAGGCAAUAGAAGAGGGGCAGCAGAUGCCUACCUUGUGGAACAGAGGAAGGCAGGCAGUUCACAGAGAAAGAGGACUAGACAGUCGGACAGAGGGGAGCAGGCUUGGGAGCUUCGUGGAGCCAAUGUCCAUCUCUGUCCUUCCUUUCCACUCGAUGCUCCUGAGUCCCUGCCUUCAACCCCCGCUUGUUUGCUUAAACUGGUUUGAGUUUGUUUCUGCUGUUUGAAAAACAACAACAACAAAACCCCAAACAAAACAAACAUCAAACAAAAACCAAAACAAAACCAUUAACUCACUCAUCCCUGUGAUUGUAUUUUGAGAAAUAAAGGUGAUUUCCUUCAGAAAACAAAGCGUAAAAACCCUGCCCUCCUCCUCUACCUCUCCGAUCGCCUAUUAAAGCCCAUUUGCUCCACGGUAAUGUAGAAGCUGUUCCCACACAUCAGCUCAUGUACAGUGUUGGACAGCAUUUCUCUGCAAUUCUUUCCAAAUCAAAGAUAGUACACCUGUGCUCCCAAAUCUACCAGGAACACUCAAUGUUUUUAAAUCUAUCUCUUUCUAAAUUGCCUCAUAAAUUCUUGCUGUUCUCAGGAUCACCUUUCUCAACUGUACCAGCUGAAAUCAACUAAGGCGGUUACCCUAACAGUUCCAAGAUGCUCAGUCGGAAAUGCUGAACGAAGAUCUUUCUGUGAAGAAGGGCGUUCAGAGUGUGCGUGUGUGUGUGUGUGUGUGUGUGUGUGUGUGUGUGUGUGUGUGUUUACAGCAACACUGUUCAAGCGGAAAAUAGGGAGGAAAAACAUCCUUGUUCAUUAAAUUCAGAUUGCAGUGAAAGAACAAAAUUGUUGGACAGAUCUUCAAGGACUUCCACCUGUCUUCAUUAGUUUCUUAUUGAUAACCAGUGAGAAGGCAGUUGCUGUAGAUCAAGUCAGAUGGUGGCUUAGACCAGGAGGUCUUGGUGGAGACAGAGGGGGCCCAAUGAGAGCAAGAAUCAGAGACAGAAAAGGAAGAAACAGGUAAUAGAUGAAGGAAUCAAACCUAGCAAUGGUAAAUUCAGUGAGGAAAAUAAGAGCUGGGGCAUUGUCCUCUGGGAGGACUGACAGGUAAACUGGGACCUGGAGAAUCUGAGGAGAGAAAAAGAUUCCAGGAUGAGGGAACACUUGGCACUUGAUUUUUAACGAGACUGGCAGGCUCUAGAAACAGAAGGAAAGUCAGUAUGGUUGGUGCAGAGUGAAGUGAACGGGAGGAGGGGUCACAGAAGGAAGGGAGCAACUCCCCAAGGUCCCUGGAGGCUCUGGUCAUUGUAGCCAGGCAAAGGGCUCUUUUUUUCCAUUUUAAAAAAAGGAAAACAUAGGAUUUUUCCCUUUUAAAAAAUGGGCUGGGCACAGUGGCUCACGCCUCUAACCCCAGUACUUGGGGAGGCUGAGGCGGGCGGAUUGCCUGAGGUCAGGAGUUCCAGACAGCAUGGCC